RNAcentral lists this unclassified non-coding RNA (282 nucleotides) under Hevea brasiliensis (rubber tree). The record is from RNAcentral. Lineage: Eukaryota; Viridiplantae; Streptophyta; Magnoliopsida; Malpighiales; Euphorbiaceae.
GAGUGUUACAGAAGUUAAACAAGGCGACCCGAAUCUGGAUUAUCUAUCUAGAGUGUGUAGAUCUGAACCAUCAAAAAAGAGACGGCAACGCAGAUGAAAGUUAAAGCUCCUAUCGUCUAGUGGAAAUGUAAAGGAACUUGAAGGGGAGGCAUAAGCAACAGUGGCACAUUUGUACAAAAAUGUGUAAAGGCUCUACAGUUUACUAAUGCCAUUUUUGGAUGCAUGUUUACUAGACAGAUAUAUCUUUUUGUUUCUUAGAACAGCUUGCAAGCUAUGAUGUUU